GUGAGUAAUGCCUAGGAAUCUGCCUGGUAGUGGGGGAUAACGCUCGGAAACGGACGCUAAUACCGCAUACGUCCUACGGGAGAAAGCAGGGGACCUUCGGGCCUUGCGCUAUCAGAUGAGCCUAGGUCGGAUUAGCUAGUUGGUGAGGUAAUGGCUCACCAAGGCGACGAUCCGUAACUGGUCUGAGAGGAUGAUCAGUCACACUGGAACUGAGACACGGUCCAGACUCCUACGGGAGGCAGCAGUGGGGAAUAUUGGACAAUGGGCGAAAGCCUGAUCCAGCCAUGCCGCGUGUGUGAAGAAGGUCUUCGGAUUGUAAAGCACUUUAAGUUGGGAGGAAGGGCAGUUACCUAAUACGUGAUUGUUUUGACGUUACCGACAGAAUAAGCACCGGCUAACUCUGUGCCAGCAGCCGCGGUAAUAC
This 424-nucleotide ribosomal RNA is filed under the name gamma proteobacterium I7Ma2_060. RNAcentral's name for it is "bacterial SSU rRNA". It matches the Rfam family "Bacterial small subunit ribosomal RNA", at positions 106 to 526 of the family's 1533-position model. The record is from RNAcentral. Lineage: Bacteria; Pseudomonadati; Pseudomonadota; Gammaproteobacteria. RNAcentral also lists the same sequence under 4 other names.